UCAUGAUGAACCUUUUCUAGAUGACGAGUCUUAUUCAGUCAACCUGAUGCAGACAAACACAAACUACCAUUCAUGCAUUUCCUGAAA
This 87-nucleotide small nucleolar RNA is filed under the name Exophiala xenobiotica. The record is from RNAcentral. Lineage: Eukaryota; Fungi; Ascomycota; Eurotiomycetes; Chaetothyriales; Herpotrichiellaceae.